UCGGGAAUUUUGGGCAAUGGGGGAAACCCUGACCCAGCAACGCCGCGUGAGCGAUGAAGGCCUUCGGGUCGUAAAGCUCUGUCAGGAGGGAAGAACUCUGCGAUACGAACAAUGUCGCAGUCUGACGGUACCUCCAAAGGAAGCACCGGCUAACUCCGUGCCAGCAGCCGCGGUAAUACGGAGGGUGCAAGCGUUGUUCGGAAUCAUUGGGCGUAAAGCGGGUGUAGGCGGCUUGGCAAGUCGGGUGUGAAAUCCCUGGGCCCAACCCAGGAACUGCAUUCGAAACUGCCUCGCUGGAGUCCCGGAGAGGAUGGCGGAAUUCCCGGUGUAGAGGUGAAAUUCGUAGAUAUCGGGAGGAACACCAGCGGCGAAGGCGGCCAUCUGGACGGUGACUGACGCUCAGACCCGAAAGCGUGGGUAGCGAACAGGAUUAGAUACCCCCGUAGUCC
This 449-nucleotide ribosomal RNA is filed under the name uncultured prokaryote. Its description in RNAcentral is "partial 16S ribosomal RNA". It matches the Rfam family "Bacterial small subunit ribosomal RNA", at positions 355 to 796 of the family's 1533-position model. The record is from RNAcentral.